GUGUUAAAUUUAAACUACUAAAAAAAAGGUUAAGUUUAAAAAAAAUAUUUGACAAGAGGAUUGAACCUUAAGGUGACCUGGCCCGAGGGUGAAGCCAUGGAAAACUCAAACACACACCGGCUAAUGGGGCCAUGGAAAUGGCUACUCAGGGUACAAGAGGUGAAGUUUCCUGCAACAGCACAACCUGAUGCCAGAGACACUACAGCAGAAAACGUCCACAGGCUUCUCUCAGUUCUGAAACAUUACUGAAAAUCUGCAACACUACAAUGCAAAAAUAUAUGUUCCAGAGCCAAACAAGGACAAGGCUGGCUUCUGAAUUGGUUAAUGUUAAAGGAAUUUGCAAACCAAUUUGUGACUCAUGGGAUUAAAUACGGAACAACUGCUCCCACUAAACUGAUCUAAAGUAGUAAAAACAAUGCAAGCUUCUCUAUAUAGUACCACCACUAGCUUAGUUUAGACAGCAUACAAGAACAGAUGUAUCCCAUUUCACACUGUAUCUUCAUUGUGAGUUUGUCCAAAAAGUUGUGGAGGGGAGGGGGGAGUUAAAAGAAAAAAAAAACACCAAAAAUUAGAGCUAGUCACUGAAUUUAAUGAAAUAUUUUCACAGUUCACCUAUUAGGCUAGGCCGUAAGAUUAGCUGUAACAACCAUGCCAGGUGAAACAUAAGUACAAAUCUUUGUGGGAAAUAAAUCUAUGCUGAGCCUGUUUCCAUUACAUAAAUUUUUAGACACUUAGACCACCCUCAUGCAUUCUGCAAAUGCUAGUCUCUUGCAGGUGCUGAACUAACUCCUAUUUUCAUCAGAACCAGUGAUUCAUUACAUAAAGCUCUAUUGUAUCACAUGACAAAAAUAAAUAACUUUUAAUGCAGUAUGAUGAGCCUUUUUAUUUUUAAGGUAAUUGGGAACAGACUAACGUUGCAUGUUUCUUAACUAGACACCGAAAUUGUCUUCACAUUUAUACCUUUGGCUUAAUAAAGAAUCCAUUUUUGAGAUCUUUCAACUGUAACCUCCACAGUCAUUAAUAAAAAUAUAUGGAAACCAAA
Long non-coding RNA from Chrysemys picta bellii (western painted turtle), 1042 nucleotides. RefSeq lists it as uncharacterized. NCBI's taxonomy places the organism in Eukaryota, Metazoa, Chordata, Testudines, Emydidae. The record is from RefSeq and is a predicted model, not a curated record.